Molecule: long non-coding RNA, 940 nt
Filed under: Phasianus colchicus (ring-necked pheasant)
Lineage: Eukaryota; Metazoa; Chordata; Aves; Galliformes; Phasianidae
Description: lncRNA (ENSPCLG00000020182.1)
Source: RNAcentral
GGGGGAUCCAUGGGGGAUCUAUAAGAUAUCUAUGGGGGAUCCAUAGGGGAUCCAUUGGAUAUCUAUGGGGGAUCUAUAUGAUAUCUAUGGGAUAUCCAUGGGGGAUCUAUGGAGGAUCUAUAGGAUAUCUAUGUGGGAUCCAUGAGAAAUCCACUGGAGAUCUAUGGCGGAUCUAUAGGAUAUCUAUGGGGGAUUUAUGGGAUAUCUAUGGGAUAUCCAUGGGGGAUCCAUGGGGAAUCUAUGGGGGAUCUAUAGGAUAUCUAUGGGGGAUCCAUGAGGAAUCCAUUGGAGAUCUGUGGGGGAUCUAUAGGAUAUCUAUGGGAUAUCUAUCGGAGAUCUAUAGGAUAUCUAUGGGGGAUCCAUGGGGGAUCUAUGGGAUGCCUAUGGGAUAUCAAUGGGGGAUCUAUGGGAUGCCUAUGGGAUAUCAAUGGGGGAUCCAUGGAGGAUCCAUGGGGGAUCCGUGGGGGAUCUGUGGGGGAUCCGUGGGGCACAGCUUUGCUCUCACCCCUCGCUGCUGCUCGAUCUUCUGCUGCUGCACCUGCUUGUGGUUGGUGAUCACCUGGCGGAUGCCGUUGACGAAGCCGCUCUGAUCGUAGGGGAUGAGGCCCAUGAAGAUCUUCUUCUUGGACGAGUAGAGCAGCAUCAGAACCCGCACCUCGCAGGGCGCCGUGUGCGGGAAGUGAACACAGCCAGCCUGGGGGGGAGACAUAUGGGUCACUAUGGGUCGCUAUGGGUCUCUAUGGGGAGCUAUGGAGUCCUAUGGGUCUCUAUGGGGUCUCUAUGGGGCACUAUCGGUCUCUAUGGGGUCUCUAUGGGGUCCCUAUGGGGUUAUGGGGUGGCUAUGGGGCAGCAUCAGAACCCGCACCUCGCAGGGCGCCGUGUGUGGGAAGUGAACACAGCCAGCCUGGGGGGGGAGACAUAUGGGGUCGCUAUGGGGUCC